GGAGGUGUGGCAGAGCGGUCAAAUGCACCGGACUGUAAAUCCGGCGGGCUGAGCCCUACGGUGGUUCGAAUCCAUCCACCUCCACCA
RNAcentral lists this transfer RNA (87 nucleotides) under Acidobacteriota bacterium. RNAcentral describes it as "Acidobacteria bacterium (freshwater sediment metagenome) tRNA-Tyr". It matches the Rfam family "tRNA". Rfam says of the family: Transfer RNA (tRNA) molecules are approximately 80 nucleotides in length. RNAcentral also lists the same sequence under 2 other names. The record is from RNAcentral. Lineage: Bacteria; Pseudomonadati; Acidobacteriota.